UACGUAGGGGGCGAGCGUUGUCCGGAAUCAUUGGGCGUAAAGGGCGCGUAGGCGGAUAAUUAAGUCUGGUGUGAAAACUUGGGGCUCAACCCCAAGCCUGCAUCGGAAACUGGAUAUCUUGAGGACAGGAGAGGAAAGUGGAAUUCCACGUGUAGCGGUGAAAUGCGUAGAGAUGUGGAGGAACACCAGUGGCGAAGGCGACUUUCUGGACUGUAACUGACGCUGAGGCGCGAAAGCGUGGGGAGCAAACAGGAUUAGAUACCCUGGUAGUCCACGCCGUAAACGAUGAGUGCUAGGUGUAGAGGGUAUCGACCCCCUCUGUGCCGCAGUUAACACAAUAAGCACUCCGCCUGGGGAGUACGGCCGCAAGGUUGAA
This 376-nucleotide ribosomal RNA is filed under the name uncultured bacterium. Its description in RNAcentral is "bacterial SSU rRNA". It matches the Rfam family "Bacterial small subunit ribosomal RNA", at positions 524 to 898 of the family's 1533-position model. The record is from RNAcentral.